CCGGCAAACGGGUGCGGAACACGUACACAACCUUCCUUUUAGUGGGGGAUAGCCCAGAGAAAUUUGGAUUAAUACCCCGUAACAUUAUUUAGUGGCAUCAUUAGAUAAUUAAAGCUCCGGCGCUAGGAGAUGGGUGUGCGUCUGAUUAGGUAGUUGGUAGGGGUAACGGCCCACCAAGCCAGCGAUCAGUAACUGGUGUGAGAGCACGACCAGUCACACGGGCACUGAGACACGGGCCCG
RNAcentral lists this ribosomal RNA (240 nucleotides) under uncultured bacterium. RNAcentral's name for it is "partial 16S ribosomal RNA". It matches the Rfam family "Bacterial small subunit ribosomal RNA", at positions 95 to 334 of the family's 1533-position model. The record is from RNAcentral.